This is a small nucleolar RNA of Bradysia coprophila, 82 nucleotides long. RefSeq annotates it as small nucleolar RNA Me28S-Cm3227. NCBI's taxonomy places the organism in Eukaryota, Metazoa, Arthropoda, Insecta, Diptera, Sciaridae. The record is from RefSeq and is a predicted model, not a curated record.
UUUUUAAUGAUGAAAAAUGUAAUCCGACUGUUUUCGUGACGAUUACACACAUAACGUUAAACCAAAAGGAUUCUGAGAAAAU